This is a non-coding RNA of Pelobates cultripes (western spadefoot toad), 524 nucleotides long. The record is from the annotation of a GenBank genome assembly. NCBI's taxonomy places the organism in Eukaryota, Metazoa, Chordata, Amphibia, Anura, Pelobatidae.
GCGAGGAGUAGGUUUAGGGAGAGGGGCCACUUUUAGGCAUAGACAGUUAUUUUAUUUUUUUUACAAUAUGAAGGGCUGUCAUGUUGUAAAAAUAAACUCCAUUCAAAAUAAUAGGAAAUACAAAGUUCUUGAAUUUGCUGCAAAUUCUGAGUGUCCAUCUCUCACUGAGCUAGUUAGUACCGCUAGUACAUAUGGUAUUUAAAAGCAACAGUAAGGGGAUACAAUGCAAAUCAGCUUCAAUUUUCAAUGAAGUCUAUUUUAAAAGACAUCUUUUAGAAUAAAGUCUCUAAACAGAUCCAUACUGAAUUCAAUGUGGACUAAUGUGCGGAAACCUUGACUAUAUUCUCAAUAUGAAUCCCAUAUAAAGUAAAUAUAGAUUCUUCUGUCCAAGCUAAGACAGUUGCAGGAAACAUAGUUACAUAGCGGAAUCAUGGGGGAAGCAAGUAGAUUUUCGAACAUGCACCAAGAACACUUCAUCUCAUAUAGUGCCCCUUUAAUUUGAAAUGGUUAAAAGUAGACAUGUG